This 204-nucleotide ribosomal RNA is filed under the name uncultured Rhodoferax sp. Its description in RNAcentral is "partial 16S ribosomal RNA". It matches the Rfam family "Bacterial small subunit ribosomal RNA", at positions 1179 to 1382 of the family's 1533-position model. The record is from RNAcentral. Lineage: Bacteria; Pseudomonadati; Pseudomonadota; Betaproteobacteria; Burkholderiales; Comamonadaceae.
AUGACGUCAAGUCCUCAUGGCCCUUAUAGGUGGGGCUACACACGUCAUACAAUGGCUGGUACAAAGGGUUGCCAACCCGCAGGGGGAGCCAAUCCCAUAAAGCCAGUCGUAGUCCGGAUCGUAGUCUGCAACUCGACUACGUGAAGUCGGAAUCGCUAGUAAUCGUGGAUCAGAAUGUCACGGUGAAUACGGUUCCCGGGUCUU